GCGCGAAUUCGCCCUUAGAGUUUGAUCAUGGCUCAGGACGAACGCUGGCGGCGUGCCUAACACAUGCAAGUCGAGCGAAGAAUAUAUAAAGAAAUCUUCGGAUGGAAAUAUAUAUUUCUUAGCGGCGGACGGGUGAGUAACGCGUGAGGAACCUGCCUUGUACUAGGGGAUAGCCUCGGGAAACCGGGAUUAAUACCCUAUGAUACUUGAGGAUCGCAUGAUUUUCAAGUCAAAGCGAUUAAGCGGUAUAAGAUGGACUCGCGUCCCAUUAGCUAGUUGGUGAGGUAAUAGCUCACCAAGGCGACGAUGGGUAGCCGGCCUGAGAGGGUGAACGGCCACACUGGAACUGAGACACGGUCCAGACUCCUACGGGAGGCAGCAGUGGGGAAUAUUGCACAAUGGAGGGAACUCUGAUGCAGCGACGCCGCGUGAGCGAUGAAGGUUUUCGGAUCGUAAAGCUCUGUCCUAAGGGACGAUAAUGACGGUACCUUAGGAGGAAGCCCCGGCUAACUACGUGCCAGCAGCCGCGGUAAUACGUAGGGGGCGAGCGUUGUCCGGAUUUAUUGAGCGUAAAGGGUGCGUAGGCGGCCUUGUAAGUCAGAUGUGAAAUCUCACGGCUUAACCGUGGUAAGCAUUUGAAACUGUGAGGCUUGAGUACAGGAGAGGAGAGUGGAAUUCCUAGUGUAGCGGUGAAAUGCGUAGAUAUUAGGAGGAAUACCAGUGGCGAAGGCGACUCUCUGGACUGUAACUGACGCUGAGGCACGAAAGCGUGGGGAGCAAACAGGAUUAGAUACCCUGGUAGUCCACGCCGUAAACGAUGAGUGCUAGGUGUCGGGGGUCAAACCUCGGUGCCGCAGUUAACACAUUAAGCACUCCGCCUGGGGAGUACGGUGGCAAC
RNAcentral lists this ribosomal RNA (898 nucleotides) under uncultured Sporanaerobacter sp. Its description in RNAcentral is "bacterial SSU rRNA". It matches the Rfam family "Bacterial small subunit ribosomal RNA", at positions 1 to 892 of the family's 1533-position model. Lineage: Bacteria; Bacillati; Bacillota; Tissierellia; Tissierellales; Sporanaerobacteraceae. The record is from RNAcentral.